CCUACGGGGUGCAGCAGUGGGGAAUAUUGGACAAUGGGCGAAAGCCUGAUCCAGCCAUGCCGCGUGUGUGAAGAAGGCCUUCGGGUUGUAAAGCACUUUCAGUGGGGAAGAAAGCCUUGGGGCUAAUACCCUCGAGGAAGGACAUCACCCACAGAAGAAGCACCGGCUAACUCCGUGCCAGCAGCCGCGGUAAUACGGAGGGUGCGAGCGUUAAUCGGAAUUACUGGGCGUAAAGCGCGCGUAGGCGGUCUGAUAAGCCGGUUGUGAAAGCCCCGGGCUCAACCUGGGAACGGCAUCCGGAACUGUCAGGCUAGAGUGCAGGAGAGGAAGGUAGAAUUCCCGGUGUAGCAGUGAAAUGCGUAGAGAUCGGGAGGAAUACCAGUGGCGAAGGCGGCCUUCUGGACUGACACUGACGCUGAGGUGCGAAAGCGUGGGUAGCAAACAGGAUUAGAUACCCGAGUAGUC
This 465-nucleotide ribosomal RNA is filed under the name Vreelandella stevensii. RNAcentral describes it as "partial 16S ribosomal RNA". It matches the Rfam family "Bacterial small subunit ribosomal RNA", at positions 338 to 795 of the family's 1533-position model. The record is from RNAcentral. Lineage: Bacteria; Pseudomonadati; Pseudomonadota; Gammaproteobacteria; Oceanospirillales; Halomonadaceae.